RNAcentral lists this ribosomal RNA (254 nucleotides) under uncultured bacterium. RNAcentral describes it as "partial 16S ribosomal RNA". It matches the Rfam family "Bacterial small subunit ribosomal RNA", at positions 524 to 776 of the family's 1533-position model. The record is from RNAcentral.
CACGUAGGGUGCGAGCGUUGUCCGGAAUUAUUGGGCGUAAAGAGCUCGUAGGCGGUGUGUCGCGUCGGCCGUGAAAACCUGGGGCUUAACUCUGGGCGUGCGGUCGAUACGGGCAUCACUGGAGUUCGGCAGGGGAGACUGGAAUUCCUGGUGUAGCGGUGAAAUGCGCAGAUAUCAGGAGGAACACCGGUGGCGAAGGCGGGUCUCUGGGCCGAUACUGACGCUGAGACGCGAAAGCGUGGGGAGCAAACAGG